Molecule: ribosomal RNA, 253 nt
Filed under: uncultured bacterium
Lineage: Bacteria
Description: partial 16S ribosomal RNA
Rfam family: Bacterial small subunit ribosomal RNA
Source: RNAcentral
UACGGAGGGUGCAAGCGUUAUCCGGAUUCACUGGGUUUAAAGGGUGCGUAGGUGGGUCCGUAAGUCCGUGGUGAAAUCUCUAGGCUUAACCUGGAAACUGCCAUGGAUACUAUAGAUCUUGAAUACUGUGGAGGUCAGCGGAAUAUGUCAUGUAGCGGUGAAAUGCUUAGAUAUGACAUAGAACACCAAUUGCGAAGGCAGCUGGCUACACAAAUAUUGACACUGAGGCACGAAAGCGUGGGGAUCAAACAGG